RNAcentral lists this long non-coding RNA (2766 nucleotides) under Homo sapiens (human). RNAcentral describes it as "HSALNT0197297". The record is from RNAcentral. Lineage: Eukaryota; Metazoa; Chordata; Mammalia; Primates; Hominidae.
GUGUGCCCCGUGGGGUCCAUCACCAGGGUAGCCGCGGUCUGUUUCCACCUGGACCAGGACCAGCGGUGACCACAGUCCCUUCCACGGGGACCAGGACCAUCGGUGACCACAGUCCCUCACACGGGGACCAGGACCAGCGGUGACCACAGUCCCUCCCAAGAGGACUAGGACCAGCAGUGACCACGUUCCCUUCCACAGGGAACAGGCAGCGGUGACCACAGACCAUUCUCACGGGGACCAGGACCAGCGGUGACCACAGUCCCUCCCAAGGGGACCAGGACCAGCGGUGACCACAGUCCCUUCCCACAGUGACCAGGACCAGGGGCGGCCUUGGUCCUUUCCCACAGGGAACAGGAGCAGGGGUGGCCAUGGUCCGCUCCCAUGGAAACCAGUGAUGGCUUCCAUGGGCUUCAUUGGGAAAUCAGGGCUUCACGGAACACCGGGUUGGCUGCAGGUCUGUGCCCACCGGGACCAGCAGAGACCUCGGGUUCCGUCCCACAGGGUGCUGCAGAGAGGGGCUCUCAGCCUCAUUUUCCAUGACAACCUGAGUGGGGCCUUGGUCCGCACGAAGCCCAGGAUUCCUUUCUAGUCCCAUUCCAGGGAACGUGGCAUGAUCAGUCCCAAAUUCCUUCCCAGGCUAGACUACCCUAAAACUAACCCGAGGAGGGGAACAUGGGGACUGUGUGAGGAGACAGUAGAAACCCAUUUCAGGGCCGCACCUGUCGGGUGAGAAAGAUGUUGGAGAGGGGAACCUGGGGUUCAUCAGGGUACAUGGGCUGCACCUGGUCUGGAUCUCCAAACUAGGAUACCUUGAGUGAGAGAAAUAGGGAACUGAAGGAGGCCUCUGGCAAAAUGCCAUCUGUGGAUUUAAACAAGCACUCCCCAAAACAGCUGUUAAGUGUUUACAAAGAUGCACAUGUAUUUACAGAUGUGGGACAUUCUAGUGGGUGCCCAAUAUUUCCAUUGACCUUCAAACUUGAUUUUCUGUCAUCCCCUAAAUACCUUCCAGCCUCAAAAAGGUAAAGUGGGAAUGAAGAAAGCCAUGACAUGGGAUAACCACCGUCAGUGGCAGGUCUCCGGCCUCCCUACGCAGCAUGGUGACCCCCAGGCUUAUCAAGAUAUAAAAGUCCAUCCUGGAGGGCACAUUCGGCUCCGCAGGCUUCUCCCAGGUAAAAAUUGCCUGACUCUGUGAUUAUCUCUUUUCUAGUCUCUCUACAGCUUAUGAGUGGUUGAACCAGAUUCAGAACUGCUCUCCAGAGGACUUUUGGAAAUUUGGGGAUGGAGAAGGAAAUUUGUUGUCAGAAUGAUUAAGGAAUGUCGUCAAUAUUUCACAACUAGGCCCAGAAGUUUUAACACCUUGCAACGUAUAGGACAUCCCUGCCUAAAGAAAAAAUGCUUUUCCCCAAAUGCCAGUAGAUACCUGUAUUAGUCAGGGUUCUCCAAGGAAACAGAACUAAUGGGAAAUUCAUAUUCGUAAAUGGAGAUUUAUUAUGAGGCAUUGGCUCAUGUAAUCAUGAAGGCUGAGAAGAACCCUGAUCUGCUGUCUGCCAUACGGAGAACCAGGAAAGCUGGUGGUGUAAUUCAGUUCCAGUCUGAAGGCCUGAGCAAUGGUUAGACACGGGGCUUCGCCAUUUUGGCCAGGGCAGUCUCGAACUCCUGACCUCAAGUGAUCCGCAGACCCUCCUCGCCUCCCAAGUGCUGGGAUUACAGGCGUGAGCCACCGCACCCAGCCUCCUCCACCUUUUUCGCUCUACUCAGACCUUCAACAGAUUGGAUGAAGCCCAGCCACACCGGGGAGCGCACUUGCUCAACUCAGUUCACGGACGCAAAUCUCAUCUGGAAACACCUGCCCAGGUCCACCUUGAAACUACGUCCAAUGUGGGCCCCUGAUAUGGGUUUGGAUCUGUGUCCUCGCCCAAAUCUCAUGUGAAAUUGUAGCCCCCAGUGUUGGAGGUGGGGCCUGGUGGGAGGUGGCUGGAUCAUGGGGGUGGAUUUCUCAUGAGUGGUUUAGUGCCAUCCCCUUCGUUCUGUCUUCAUGAGAGUAAGCAAGUUCUCACCAGCUCUGGUAGUUUACAAGUGUGAACUCGCCGCACUCUCUUGCUCCUGCUCCCACCAUGUGAGACGCCUCACUGCCCAUCUGCCUUCUGCCAUGAUUGGAAGCUUCCUGAGGCCUCCCCAGAAGCAGAAGCUGCAGUGCUUCCUGUACAGCCUGCAGAAUCGCAAGCCAAUUCAACCUCUUUUCUUUAAAAACUACCCAGUCUUAGGUAUUUUUUUUCUUUUCUUUUUUUUUUUUUUCCUUUUGAGACAAGAUCUCACUCAGAUGCCCAGGCUGGAAUGCAGUGGUACAGUCUCAGCUCACUGCAACCUCCACCUCCUGGGUUCAAGCGAUUCUCCUGCCUCAGCGUCCUGAGUAGCUGUGCCACCAUGCCCUGCUAAUUUUUGUAUUUUUAGUAGAGAUCACAUUUCACUGUGUUGGCCAGGCUGGUCUCGAACUCCCGCCUCAGCCUCCCAAAGUGCUGAGAUUACAGGCGUGAGCCACGGCACACAGCUUUCAGGUAUUUCUGGUUUUUUUGUUUGUUUGUUUGUUUGUUUGUUUUUGAGAUGAGGUCUCGUUUUGUCGCACAGUCUGGAAUGCAGUGGUGUGAUCUCGGCUCACUGCAGCCUCCGCCUCCCAGGUACAAGUGAUUCUCCUGCCUCAGCCUCCCAAGUAGCUGGGAUUACAGGCGUGCACCACCACACCCAGCUAAUUUAGUAUUUUUAGUAGAG